GCCUGACCUUCUGAAUACUCAAUUUUAAUUUUUUUUUAAAUUGACAUUAAAAUUUGAAGGAUCAAAUCAUAGGAAACAUGUGUAUUUUAAAAGUUUUAAGUUGAUAAGACUUCAACUUCAUUAAAAACUACCUUGACCAAAAACUUUAACCUGAAGCAGGACAGACGGACGAACGAACGAACGAACGGCCGCACAGACCAGAAAACAUAAAUUGGACAUAAAAAUAACUUUCACCUAUCUAAUAACCCCGGUAACCUGUACACAAUCGGCGCAAAUGAAAGACAAAAUGAAAGAAUAAAAAAAUGAAAUGCAGAUCGCCGCAAAAAAGUAGAGAUCAAAAGUUAUAUUUUAUUGUUUUUAUUAGAACGAAGGUUAAAUAUAGUGUAGUAUCUUUUGUGUCCAUUUGUGUUAAAUUUCCACAAGAUAUCAGCUCGACGCUUAAUUCCUCUUUACUUGGGAUACGUAUUUUUAAGCGUACACCAUGUUGGAAUCCGUGAAAAACGCGAAAUAGGAC
Molecule: long non-coding RNA, 514 nt
Filed under: Mytilus galloprovincialis (Mediterranean mussel)
Lineage: Eukaryota; Metazoa; Mollusca; Bivalvia; Mytilida; Mytilidae
Source: RNAcentral